Molecule: non-coding RNA, 234 nt
Organism: Vicia faba (fava bean)
Lineage: Eukaryota; Viridiplantae; Streptophyta; Magnoliopsida; Fabales; Fabaceae
Source: the annotation of a GenBank genome assembly
AUGAACCAAAAAAAAAGAAAAACAAAAGAAGAAGAGAAUGGAGGAAGAAGAAAACAGAGCUCUGGCGAUGUUCAUGACACGCAGCAGCAAAUCACCUCAUUCCCUCCGUGCAAAACUUCUGACCCGACGUACAAAACCGUGACUCCAACCAACGGCGACCUCCGAAGAGCACUCCAGAUCCUCCAUAGGCCCCAUUCCGAAGAGUUCACCACAUCAACCACGAAACCCUUCUGA